AUGCACGUUGAGCGCCUCGCAAGGGGAGCGGUAGACGGGUGAGUAACCCCUGGGAAUCUACCCAUCUCUACUGAACAUCUCCGGGAAACUGGAGAUAAUACCGUAUAUCUCCUUUUGCAGAAAGAUUUAUUGGAGAUGGAUGAGCCCGCGUUGGAUUUCCUAGUUGGUGGGGUAAUGGCCUACCAAGGCGACGAUCCAUAUCUGGUCUGAGAGGAUGAUCACCCACACUGGGAGUCAUACCCUCCCCAAAUUCCUAUGGGAAGCAACCGUGGGGAAUAUUGGACAAUGGGCGCAAGCCUGAUCCAGCCAUGCCGUAUGAGUGAUGAAGGCCCUAGGGUUGUAAAGCUCUUUCCACGGUGAAAAUAAUGACGGUAACGGUGUAAGAAGCCCCGGCUAACUUCUUGCCAGCCGCCGCGGUAAUACGAAGGGGGCUAGCGUUGUUCGUAACUACUGGGCGUAACUCGCAGGUAGGAUGAUUGUUAAUUUAGGGAUGAAAUCCCAGGUCUCAACCUCGGAAGUGCUUUUAAUCCUGCUAAUCUCAAGUCCAAGAUAGGUGAGUGGAAUUCCAAGUGCACAGGUGAAUUUUGUAGAUUUUAGAAGGAGCACCGUUGUCGAAGGCGGCUCACUGGCUCGCUACUGAUGCUGAGCUGCGAAA
This 655-nucleotide ribosomal RNA is filed under the name Mesorhizobium sp. RNAcentral's name for it is "bacterial SSU rRNA". It matches the Rfam family "Bacterial small subunit ribosomal RNA", at positions 55 to 758 of the family's 1533-position model. Lineage: Bacteria; Pseudomonadati; Pseudomonadota; Alphaproteobacteria; Hyphomicrobiales; Phyllobacteriaceae. The record is from RNAcentral.